UACAGAUUGAAGAUGAGUGGAGGUAGUUUAAAGAGAUCUUCUAUGUAGAGAGCGAUCAAGAAUGCAUCCAAGAAGACAACAGUGCAGUGUCGUUUGGGAAGGAUACAAAAGAACCAGGAUCAGGAGUUGAAAAAAGAAGACUAAAGGGACUAAAGGUGACAUCAGCUUUUAGAAUUCUGGAAUCUCCAGAGAAGGCCAAAUUUUGGAUGUUAUAUGGAGCCUGAAUUUUUAGACGUCGUAAUGUUAGAACCAGUUUAUUCGUCUCCACGGUGUUAAGAGGGCACGCCCAGAAGAUAUGGUUCAAAUCUUGGAACUGAGCAUUGCAUUGACAGGCCUCAGAGGAGGCGGCACCGAUUCUAUGAAGUCCAUAUUGGUAAACCAAGGACAGCCCAAGGUAGGAGGAGACCAUUUAAAGAAAUUGAUUCCCUUAUACUGGGCUUGAUCAGCAAGAUAGUCAUAGGCCUUGGAUUUCAUCCAACUUUUACAGUGCACAGCAAGAUCAGACCAGACUACUUUAGUAUUUAUUGUAGAAAUACUGAGGGCUUCUUUGGCCUUUUUAUCCGCCAUCUCAUUACCAUGGAUUCCCUGAUGGGAUGGGAUCCAGAUAAACUGAAUUUGAAGUCCGAUGGAUCGGCUGCAAGAAGAGCCAAUGCCUCUGUGAAGAAAAUAGAAGCCUUGUUGCAGUAUCUGAAUUUCCUAAUUAGUCUUGAGUUAGCUACGUAGACUGCAGCCCCACAUCUCUCACGGGUGGACGACCAAGAGCCAUCUGUGUAUAUAUAAACCCAGUUCCGGAAUUCCUUCAGAAGGAAGGUGCCAAGACCGUUAUUAGGGUUCUACGUUUCUCUCAUAGAAAAGCCAAACUCAAGGUCCACAUCGA
Molecule: RNA transcript, 877 nt
Organism: Cephus cinctus (wheat stem sawfly)
Lineage: Eukaryota; Metazoa; Arthropoda; Insecta; Hymenoptera; Cephidae
Exons: 4
Source: RefSeq, a predicted model, not a curated record